AGAGCUUGCUCUCGGGUGACGAGUGGCGGACGGGUGAGUAAUGUCUGGGAAACUGCCUGAUGGAGGGGGAUAACUACUGGAAACGGUAGCUAAUACCGCAUAAUGUCACAAGACCAAAGAGGGGGACCUUCGGGCCUCUUGCCAUCAGAUGUGCCCAGAUGGGAUUAGCUAGUAAGUGGGGUAACGGCUCACCUAGGCGACGAUCCCUAGCUGGUCUGAGAGGAUGACCAGCCACACUGGAACUGAGACACGGUCCAGACUCCUACGGGAGGCAGCAGUGGGGAAUAUUGCACAAUGGGCGCAAGCCUGAUGCAGCCAUGCCGCGUGUAUGAAGAAGGCCUUCGGGUUGUAAAGUACUUUCAGCGGGGAGGAAGGUGUUGUGGUUAAUAACCACAGCAAUUGACGUUACCCGCAGAAGAAGCACCGGCUAACUCCGUGCCAGCAGCCGCGGUAAUACGGAGGGUGCAAGCGUUAAUCGGAAUUACUGGGCGUAAAGCGCACGCAGGCGGUCUGUCAAGUCGGAUGUGAAAUCCCCGGGCUCAACCUGGGAACUGCAUUCGAAACUGGCAGGCUAGAGUCUUGUAGAGGGGGGUAGAAUUCCAGGUGUAGCGGUGAAAUGCGUACAGAUCUGGAGGAAUACCGGUGGCGAAGGCGGCCCCCUGGACAAAGACUGACGCUCACGUGCGAAAGCGUGAGGAGCAAACAGGAUUAGAUACCCUGGUAGUCCACGCCGUAAACGAUGUCGAUUUGGAGGUUGUGCCCUUGAUGCGUGGCUUCCGGAGCUAACGCGUUAAAUCGACCGCCUGGGGAGUACGGCCGCAAGGUUAAAACUCAAAUGAAUUGACGGAGGCCCGCACAAGCGGUGGAGCAUGUG
Molecule: ribosomal RNA, 874 nt
Filed under: Pantoea agglomerans
Lineage: Bacteria; Pseudomonadati; Pseudomonadota; Gammaproteobacteria; Enterobacterales; Erwiniaceae
Description: bacterial SSU rRNA
Rfam family: Bacterial small subunit ribosomal RNA
Source: RNAcentral